AUUGAACGCUGGCGGCAGGCCUAACACAUGCAAGUCGAGCGGAUGAAGGGAGCUUGCUCCUGGAUUCAGCGGCGGACGGGUGAGUAAUGCCUAGGAAUCUGCCUGGUCGUGGGGGAUAACGUCCGGAAACGGGCGCUAAUACCGCAUACGUCCUGUGGGAGAAAGUGGGGGAUCUUCGGACCUCACGCUAUCAGAUGAGCCUAGGUCGGAUUAGCUAGUUGGUGGGGUAAAGGCCUACCAAGGCGACGAUCCGUAACUGGUCUGAGAGGAUGAUCAGUCACACUGGAACUGAGACACGGUCCAGACUCCUACGGGAGGCAGCAGUGGGGAAUAUUGGACAAUGGGCGAAAGCCUGAUCCAGCCAUGCCGCGUGUGUGAAGAAGGUCUUCGGAUUGUAAAGCACUUUAAGUUGGGAGGAAGGGCAGUAAGUUAAUACCUUGCUGUUUUGACGUUACCAACAGAAUAAGCACCGGCUAACUUCGUG
Molecule: ribosomal RNA, 484 nt
Filed under: uncultured bacterium
Lineage: Bacteria
Description: partial 16S ribosomal RNA
Rfam family: Bacterial small subunit ribosomal RNA
Source: RNAcentral